This 1953-nucleotide long non-coding RNA is filed under the name Mus spicilegus (steppe mouse). Its description in RNAcentral is "lncRNA (ENSMSIG00000011253.1)". The record is from RNAcentral. Lineage: Eukaryota; Metazoa; Chordata; Mammalia; Rodentia; Muridae.
ACACCCACUCUGAGAAAACACUUGACUUUCACUGGCCAUGAGAACCAUCUGGAUUCUGGUGAUAACUGGAUCCUCCUGUUCCCAAGGCUACCCAUCAAGUAGCCCUCCAGAUCUACAGAUUGGAUUCAAAUGAGCUAAUGGAUCGCUCCUUGCAUGUGUUCAGAUAUGAGAGUUGGCCCAGAAGGAGAGUUUCCAGGAAAUCUCUAGAUUUCAGAGGGAACAGUCUGAUCAUCAAUAUUGGACUCUCAAUAGAUGAAAAGAGAUUAUGUGUCCUGGAGGAAGAGAAUAGCUCAGAGGUGACCUUGCUCAUUCCUUCUUUCCAAAUAGUUUUAAGUAGCAAAAAGUCUAUUGACUUUUGCCCUGGUAUCCACUUUAGUGGUCAGUCCCUCUUAUUCCUCUGUAGAUUCAAUGAUCAUUUUGGUAGAUCCUCCAUCUUUUUCUUUUAGGGACUUAUUUAGCAUUACUUCCCCCCCCUUGUGUGUAUAGCUUGCAGAGAACUGUGGGAGAUACACAGAGAUGAUGCUGUAGAGCUUAGCCUUUAUUGAAGUUUCUCACAACCAAUAGAGGACCAGCUGAGUAUUGUAUCAUCCUCACAAAAACACAACCACAGUUUAAACAACAUAUGAAUGUGUUUGUCUCUCUUACCAUAGGGGUACAACUCAGGGCUUGACUAUUGCCUCGAAUCCCUGACACCCAGGCUCCAUGCAUCUCCUGCUCAGCACCAGGGUGCAAAUCUUAUCUUCACGCAUACCAGAAAACUGUCAGUGCUUCAGCCAUCACAACUUAUUCCCAAGUGGAAAGGAAAGGCAAAAACAGCUGGUGCAGAGUCUCUGACUGGUUUUCCUAGCAGUAUUCCAGUGGUGUUUGCUUUUGUUGUUUUCCAGAGAGACAUCAUGCGAUCACCAAGAGCAAGCAAGUGAGCACACUGUGACUCUCCAAAAAACUGAGAGAUCUCUUUAUAAGUAAACCAGGAACUGAAAGACCUCUUUUAAAUAGAUCAGGAAGAGUGUGGUUGGUCGGGCAUUUCAGAGACUAAACCAUGGAGUAUAUAAAAUCAAGAGUAAACUGUUAAGUGGGUUUUAUCAGGUUAAAGCCUUAUGGCCAGGAAUUCGAAGAUUAGGCCCAUGAUCUAUCUCUCUCUCUCUCUCUCUCUCUCUCUCUCUCUCUCUCUCUCUCUCUCUCUUUCUGUUUUAAAAAGAUUUAUUUAUUAUUAUAUGUAAGUACACCACCCGGCUCAAGAAUAUUUCUUUGCGUUUUUGUGUUCUUUUAAAAAAACUAUUUAUAUUAUGUAUAUGAGAACAUUGUAGCUGUCUUCAGACACACCACAAGAGUGUGUCAGAUCUCAUUACGGAUGGUUGUGAAGCACCAUGUGGUUGCUGGGAUUUGAACUCAGGACCUUCGGAAGAGCAUUCAGUACUCUUGACUGAUAAGCUAUCUCUCCAUCCCAUCCCAUGAUCUUUCUUGAUAGGUGGGCAUGGGAGUCGGGGCAGAAAGCCCUGUGCCAGGAUGAGAUGAAAGUUCUCAAAGCAGUGGAUAGAGGAAACAGGGAGAGGGAAGGAUCCAGGAAGGCUUCCCUCUGUUUUCUGGGAGUGUGAAGAUCUGCAGAGAUCUGCAAAUACUAGCUGACUCCACCUCCAGGGAUGCAGAUGUUACAGUACUCUGUAUACUCACUGACAUGUUGAUUAAUCGGAAAGAACAGAAAGUCCAGAAACAGAUCCCUGUAUUGAUAAAAACAAACAAACGAACGAACCAACCAACCAACCUGGGGUUUCUCCCCAGUGGGUGUGUGGGACCCUGAGGCCGUGAAUGCUAGCCAUUGCUCUACUACAGAGCUGCAUUCUCAGCCAUACACUGAUUUUGACAAGGACUCAAAUGCAGGCAGUAGAGAACAAAAAAAAAAAAAAAUAUUACCUUAUUUUAAAAAAAAUGAAUAAAUAAAUAAAAAUUAACUCA